GUCUCUUCGGAGACAUCCGAUAAAAUUGGAACAAUACAAAGACAAUUAGCAUUGGCCCCUGUGCAAGGAUGACAAACACAAAUCGAGAAAUGGUCCAAAUUUUA
Molecule: small nuclear RNA, 104 nt
Filed under: Nelumbo nucifera (sacred lotus)
Lineage: Eukaryota; Viridiplantae; Streptophyta; Magnoliopsida; Proteales; Nelumbonaceae
Source: RNAcentral